Molecule: ribosomal RNA, 500 nt
Filed under: uncultured Glomeromycotina
Lineage: Eukaryota; Fungi; Glomeromycota
Description: partial small subunit ribosomal RNA
Rfam family: Eukaryotic small subunit ribosomal RNA
Source: RNAcentral
CCAAUAGCGUAUAUUAAAGUUGUUGCAGUUAAAAAGCUCGUAGUUGAAUUUCGGGAUCAUUAGGUUGGUCGUGCCUCUGGUAUGUACUGAUCUCGGUGGUUCCUACUUCUUGAAGAACCGUAAUGCCAUUAAUUUGGUGUUGCGGGGAAACAGGACUGUUACUUUGAAAAAAUUAGAGUGUUUAAAGCAGGCAAUCGCUUGAAUACAUUAGCAUGGAAUAAUGAAAUAGGACGUUCGAUCCUAUUUUGUUGGUUUCUAGGAUUGACGUAAUGAUUAAUAGGGUUAGUUGGGGGCAUUAGUAUUCAAUUGUCAGAGGUGAAAUUCUUGGAUUUAUUGAAGACUAACUACUGCGAAAGCAUUUGUCAAGGAUGUUUUCAUUAAUCAAGAACGAAAGUUAGGGGAUCGAAGACGAUCAGAUACCGUCGUAGUCUUAACCAUAAACUAUGCCGACUAGGGAUCGGAUGAUGUUAAUUUUUUAAUGACUCAUUCGGCGCCUUACG